This 71-nucleotide transfer RNA is filed under the name Phycisphaerae bacterium. RNAcentral's name for it is "tRNA-Gln". It matches the Rfam family "tRNA". From Rfam's summary of the family: Transfer RNA (tRNA) molecules are approximately 80 nucleotides in length. Their secondary structure includes four short double-helical elements and three loops (D, anti-codon, and T loops). The record is from RNAcentral. RNAcentral also lists the same sequence under 2 other names. Lineage: Bacteria; Pseudomonadati; Planctomycetota; Phycisphaerae.
UGGGGUGUCGUCAAGUGGUAAGACACGAGCCUUUGGAGCUCGCAUCGCAGGUUCGAAUCCUGCCACCCCAG